CAGCGUUGGUAGCUGCAAGCCAGGGGCGGUAGCGUG
Molecule: regulatory RNA element, 36 nt
Rfam family: JUMPstart RNA
Source: Rfam